UACGAAGGUCACUAGCGUUGCUCGGAUUGACUGGGCGUAAAGGGCGUGUAGGCGGCCUUGCAAGUUGGGUGUGAAAUCCCUGGGCUUAACCCGGGAACUGCAUUCAAAACUGCAUGGCUUGACGGUCGGAGAGGUAAGUGGAAUUCCUAGUGGAGAGUUGAAAUUCGUAGAUAUUAGGAAGAACACCAGUGGCGAAAGCGGCUUACUGGACGACGCGUGACGCUGAGGCGCGAAAGCGUGGGGAGCAAACAGG
RNAcentral lists this ribosomal RNA (253 nucleotides) under uncultured bacterium. RNAcentral describes it as "partial 16S ribosomal RNA". It matches the Rfam family "Bacterial small subunit ribosomal RNA", at positions 524 to 776 of the family's 1533-position model. The record is from RNAcentral.